UACGUAGGGUGCAAGCGUUGUCCGGAAUUAUUGGGCGUAAAGGGCUCGUAGGCGGUCCAUCGCGUCGGGAGUGAAAAGCUGGGGCUUAACCCCAGUCCUGCUUUCGAUACGGGUGGACUAGAGGUAGGCAGGGGAGAACGGAAUUCCUGGUGUAGCGGUGAAAUGCGCAGAUAUCAGGAGGAACACCAAUGGCGAAGGCAGCUCGCUGGGACGGUACUGACGCUGAGGCGCGAAAGUGUGGGGAGCGAACAGG
This 253-nucleotide ribosomal RNA is filed under the name uncultured bacterium. Its description in RNAcentral is "partial 16S ribosomal RNA". It matches the Rfam family "Bacterial small subunit ribosomal RNA", at positions 524 to 776 of the family's 1533-position model. The record is from RNAcentral.